This 213-nucleotide ribosomal RNA is filed under the name Staphylococcus pseudintermedius. RNAcentral describes it as "partial 16S ribosomal RNA". It matches the Rfam family "Bacterial small subunit ribosomal RNA", at positions 1 to 208 of the family's 1533-position model. The record is from RNAcentral. Lineage: Bacteria; Bacillati; Bacillota; Bacilli; Caryophanales; Staphylococcaceae.
UUUAUGGAGAGUUUGAUCCUGGCUCAGGAUGAACGCUGGCGGCGUGCCUAAUACAUGCAAGUCGAGCGAACAGAUAAGGAGCUUGCUCCUUUGACGUUAGCGGCGGACGGGUGAGUAACACGUGGGUAACCUACCUAUAAGACUGGAAUAACUCCGGGAAACCGGGGCUAAUGCCGGAUAACAUGUUGAACCGCAUGGUUCUACAGUGAAAGA